This 775-nucleotide ribosomal RNA is filed under the name uncultured Neocallimastigales. Its description in RNAcentral is "partial large subunit ribosomal RNA". It matches the Rfam family "Eukaryotic large subunit ribosomal RNA", at positions 20 to 616 of the family's 3401-position model. Lineage: Eukaryota; Fungi; Neocallimastigomycota; Neocallimastigomycetes; Neocallimastigales. The record is from RNAcentral.
UACUAGAGUAGCACUCGCAUAUCAAUAAGCGGAGGAAAAGAAACUAACAAGGAUUCCCCUAGUAACGGCGAGUGAAGCGGGAAGAGCUCAAAUUUGAAAUCUUAAAGGGUUUCCCUUUACGAAUUGUAGUUUAAAGAAGUGUUUUCUGUUGAGGUUUUGGUAAAAGUUCUUUGGAAUAGGACAUCAUAGAGGGUGAGAAUCCCGUAUUUGACCUUUACUUUCAACUUUGUGAUACACUUUCAAAGAGUCGGAUUGUUUGGGAAUGCAGUCCAAAAUGGGUGGUAAACUUUCAUCUAAAGCUAAAUAUUGGCGAGAGACCGAUAGCGAACAAGUACCGUGAGGGAAAGAUGAAAAGAACUUUGAAAAGAGAGUUAAACAGUACGUGAAAUUGUCAAAAGGGAAGCGUUUGACACCAGUGUUGUUUUUCUGAAAAUCAAUUAAAGAACUGUUUAUGCUAAGCUGUUUAGACUUUAUCAGCUAACUGUUUAGUUUUGAGCUUUUCUUUAACGCACUUUUCAGUUAACAAGUCAACAUCAAUUUCUUUUGCUGUAAAAAAGCUUGAGGAAGGUGGCUUGAGAUUCGUCUUAAGUGUUUAUAGCCUCUUGCCUAUGCAGUCGGAGAGAUUGAGGUCUGCAGCGUAGAUCCUUCGGGGCUAAAUGCAUUUGUGCUAAGUUAUAGCAUUUUAUAGACAACUUGUUGACUAUGAUUUGUCUUGUAGCUUACUCGCUUAUGUUAUUUUACCUACGCUUAGGAUGUUGAGCGCAUGUCUCUCUCU